RNA transcript from Brassica napus (rape), 1865 nucleotides. It is a transcript of the gene named serine/arginine-rich-splicing factor SR34, with no coding region annotated. The record is from RefSeq and is a predicted model, not a curated record. NCBI's taxonomy places the organism in Eukaryota, Viridiplantae, Streptophyta, Magnoliopsida, Brassicales, Brassicaceae. The transcript has 13 exons.
UUACCAAACGGGUCUGAUGUACCGAUACCGUUUAAACUUUGUCUUUAACCCAGUGGUAAAACUUGUGUUAAGAUAAAAAAAAAAAAGGAGAACACGUGAGGCACGUGAUACUCUCGGCUCCUUAAUAUCAUCUCGACCAAUUCGAAAGCCCUAGAGGCAGAGUUCUUCUCUCUACUGUCCGAAGCUCUCCCCCCCCACCAACCCAGAUCUCAAUUCUCAUUCAGGAAAAAAAAGAUGAGCAGCCGUUCGAGCAGAACUAUCUACGUCGGGAACCUUCCCGGAGAUAUCCGCGAGAGAGAAGUCGAAGAUUUGUUCAGUAAGUAUGGACCUGUUGUCCAAAUCGAUUUGAAGAUCCCACCAAGACCUCCUGGCUACGCCUUCGUCGAGUUUGAGGAUCCUCGGGAUGCUGAUGAUGCAAUUCACGGUCGUGAUGGAUAUGACUUCGAUGGCCAUUGCUUAAGGGUGGAGCUAGCACAUGGUGGGAGGCGUUCGUCUAAUGAUGCUCGUGGUAGUUACGGUGGUGGUGGUAGUCGUGGUGGUGGCGGCGGUCGUGAUGGUGGUGACCGUGGGCGUGGGCCGUCUAGGAGAUCUGAGUACCGAGUUGUUGUGUCAGGUUUGCCUUCUUCUGCUUCCUGGCAAGACCUCAAGGAUCACAUGCGUAAAGGAGGAGAAGUCUGUUUCUCUCAAGUGUUCCGUGAUGGUAGAGGUAUCUUCUCAUAUCUUGCACAAGAAUAUAGCUGUUUGUGUGAUUUCUACAUGGAAAUGUUAAGCAUCUAUAUCUUGGACUGUUUAUAUACAGGUACAACUGGAAUCGUAGAUUAUACGAGCUACGAGGACAUGAAAUAUGCGAUCAAAAAGCUUGAUGACACAGAGUUUCGGAAUGCGUUUUCUCGUGGAUAUGUCCGGGUUAGGGAAUAUGAUUCGAGGAAGGACUCGAGAAGCCCUAGCCGUGGAAGAUCUUAUUCUAAGAGCCGUAGUCGCAGCCGUGGGCGUAGCCACAGCCGCAGUCUUAGCCGCAGCAGAAGCAGGAGCAGGAGUCCAAAGGCUAAAUCUUCGCGUAGGUCGCCUGCAAAAUCAACAUCGAGAUCUCCUCGUUCCCGCUCUAAGUCAAGGACACCACCUCCAAGAGGAUAUGGAUAUACGUACAAUCAACUAAAAAUUGGGGAUUAAUAUCUGGAUCAUGGAUUACUUGUACACAAGUGUUUCGUCUCAGAGAUGGGUAACACAGGAGAGACAUUGGAUCACAUUGUUAUAGAUAUGGAUUCAUUGAUGACAGAGCUAGGAACAUAUAUUUUCAUUACCUGCAAAAUCACCAAGCGUGCUGGAUUCUCAUGGAACCGAUGCUGUGCUCAGGACACAGGGUUUGCUAGAACUUGUCUUAGUCUUAGUUUAUGUUCUCUGCUAGUUUGUGUUCUUUUUUGCUUUCUUGUGAUAUGAUUUUUGCAUCUCUGACAUGAAUGAGGGCAUCAAGGCACUUGGUGAAACAGCUAUUAUACACGGAAAACAUAUUAGGAUUCUAAACCUGGAUAUUGUUUCUCGGACUUUUGCAGAUCUCGUUCAAGGUCAAGAUCCCCUCCACCUCCUGUUCACAAGGAAGCAAGUAAGAGCCCUAGCAAGGUGAGUCCAGCCAAGAGCCCUAUGCGUAGCAGGAGCAGAAGCAGGAGUCCAUCUCGGUAAACAAAAAAGAAAAGAGAGCUGGGUUUUGUUGGAAGAUUCUCCUAAGGGAUCAUAUCUAUUUUAUGUUGUUUGUUUGUCUAAGACUUUAAGUACCUAUAUUACUCUUGUUUUUAUUUUAUUUUUAAAUGUAUUCACUGCAACAAUAUGUGUUUAAGAUUCUCUUAAAAGAUCUUUGCUUUUGUUUUUUA